CCUACGGGGGGCUGCAGUAGGGAAUUUUCCACAAUGGGCGAAAGCCUGAUGGAGCAACGCCGCGUGCAGGAUGAAACCCCUAGGGGCGUAAACUGCUUUUAUAUGUGAAGAUUUUGACGGUAGCAUAUGAAUAAGGAUCGGCUAACUCCGUGCCAGCAGCCGCGGUCAUACGGAGGAUCCAAGCGUUAUCCGGAAUUACUGGGCGUAAAGAGUUGCGUAGGUGGCUUAGUAAGUAGACAGUGAAAUUGUACGGCUCAACCGUAUGCACAUUGUCUAAACUGCUAGGCUAGAAUAUGAGAGAGGUAGCUGGAAUUCCUUGUGUAGGAGUGGAAUCCGUAGAUAUAAGGAGGAACACCGAUGGCGUAGGCAGGCUACUGGCUUAUUAUUGACACUAAGGCACGAAAGCGUGGGGAGCGAACAGGAUUAGAUACCCUUGUAGUC
This 441-nucleotide ribosomal RNA is filed under the name uncultured bacterium. RNAcentral's name for it is "bacterial SSU rRNA". It matches the Rfam family "Bacterial small subunit ribosomal RNA", at positions 338 to 795 of the family's 1533-position model. The record is from RNAcentral.